RNAcentral lists this ribosomal RNA (497 nucleotides) under uncultured bacterium. Its description in RNAcentral is "partial 16S ribosomal RNA". It matches the Rfam family "Bacterial small subunit ribosomal RNA", at positions 28 to 507 of the family's 1533-position model. The record is from RNAcentral.
GAUGAACGCUGGCGGCGUGCCUAAUACAUGCAAGUCGAGCGAACAGACGAGGAGCUUGCUCCUCUGACGUUAGCGGCGGACGGGUGAGUAACACGUGGAUAACCUACCUAUAAGACUGGGAUAACUUCGGGAAACCGGAGCUAAUACCGGAUAAUAUAUUGAACCGCAUGGUUCAAUAGUGAAAGACGGUUUUGCUGUCACUUAUAGAUGGAUCCGCGCCGCAUUAGCUAGUUGGUAAGGUAACGGCUUACCAAGGCAACGAUGCGUAGCCGACCUGAGAGGGUGAUCGGCCACACUGGAACUGAGACACGGUCCAGACUCCUACGGGAGGCAGCAGUAGGGAAUCUUCCGCAAUGGGCGAAAGCCUGACGGAGCAACGCCGCGUGAGUGCUGAAGGUCUUCGGAUCGUAAAACUCUGUUAUUAGGGAAGAACAAAUGUGUAAGUAACUAUGCACGUCUUGACGGUACCUAAUCAGAAAGCCACGGCUAACUACGUG